Molecule: non-coding RNA, 122 nt
Filed under: Streptomyces sp.
Lineage: Bacteria; Bacillati; Actinomycetota; Actinomycetes; Kitasatosporales; Streptomycetaceae
Also listed under: 1 other name
Source: RNAcentral
GGCCCGGUACAGUGGCCAGGUCGUCAUCACACCCGUACGGGGGGAAGCCGGUGCAAUUCCGGCGCUGACCCGCAACCGUGAAGCUGCCUGGGAGGGCGGCCAGCCGGACUGCUCCGUACGGU